UGGUUCAAAUUCGCCUGGAGGAAGCGAU
RNAcentral lists this small RNA (28 nucleotides) under Bombyx mori (domestic silkworm). RNAcentral's name for it is "ovarian small RNA-8854". Lineage: Eukaryota; Metazoa; Arthropoda; Insecta; Lepidoptera; Bombycidae. The record is from RNAcentral.